ACGGAGGAUCCGAGCGUUAUCCGGAUUUAUUGGGUUUAAAGGGAGCGUAGGCGGGUGCUUAAGUCAGUUGUGAAAGUUUGCGGCUCAACCGUAAAAUUGCAGUUGAUACUGGGCGCCUUGAGUGCAGCAUAGGUAGGCGGAAUUCGUGGUGUAGCGGUGAAAUGCUUAGAUAUCACGAAGAACUCCGAUUGCGAAGGCAGCUUACUGGACUGUAACUGACGCUGAUGCUCGAAAGUGUGGGUAUCAAACAG
RNAcentral lists this ribosomal RNA (251 nucleotides) under uncultured bacterium. RNAcentral's name for it is "partial 16S ribosomal RNA". It matches the Rfam family "Bacterial small subunit ribosomal RNA", at positions 525 to 775 of the family's 1533-position model. The record is from RNAcentral.